Molecule: ribosomal RNA, 819 nt
Filed under: uncultured bacterium
Lineage: Bacteria
Description: bacterial SSU rRNA
Rfam family: Bacterial small subunit ribosomal RNA
Source: RNAcentral
UGGAGCAAUCCGUGAGUAGAGUGGCAAACGGGUGAGUAACGCGUGGGCGACCUACCUUCAAGUGGGGGAUAACUUUCCGAAAGGAAGGCUAAUACCGCAUAACAUCCCGUCUUUGAAUAGACGGGUAUCAAAGCCGGGGAUCGCAAGACCUGGCGCUAGAAGAGGGGCCCGCGUCCGAUUAGCUAGUUGGUGAGGUAACGGCUCACCAAGGCUCCGAUCGGUAUCCGGCCUGAGAGGGCGGACGGACACACUGGAACUGAGACACGGUCCAGACUCCUACGGGAGGCAGCAGUGGGGAAUUGUUCACAAUGGGCGCAAGCCUGAUGACGCAACGCCGCGUGGAGGAUGAAGAUUUUCGGAUCGUAAACUCCUUUCGACCGAGAUGAAUUUCCGCCGACCUAAUACGUUGGCGGGGUGACAGUAUCGAGGGAAGCAGCCCCGGCUAACUCCGUGCCAGCAGCCGCGGUAAUACGGGGGGGGCAAGCGUUGUUCGGAAUUACUGGGCGUAAAGGGUUUGUAGGUGGCUUGCUAAGUCAGACGUGAAAUCCCUCGGCUUAACCGGGGAACUGCGUUUGAUACUGGAUGGCUUGAGUUUGGGAGAGGGAUGCGGAAUUCCAGGUGUAGCGGUGAAAUGCGUAGAUAUCUGGAGGAACACCGGUGGCGAAGGCGGCAUCCUGGACCAAUACUGACGCUGAGGAGCGAAAGCCAGGGGAGCAAACGGGAUUAGAUACCCCGGUAGUCCUGGCCCUAAACGAUGAAUGCUUGGUGUGGCGGGUAUCGAUCCCUGCCGUGCCGAAGCUAACGCAUUAAGCAUUCCGC